Molecule: ribosomal RNA, 315 nt
Filed under: uncultured bacterium
Lineage: Bacteria
Description: partial 16S ribosomal RNA
Rfam family: Bacterial small subunit ribosomal RNA
Source: RNAcentral
UAGGGAAUCUUCCACAAUGGACGCAAGUCUGAUGGAGCAACGCCGCGUGAGUGAAGAAGGCUUUCGGGUCGUAAAACUCUGUUGUUGGAGAAGAAUGGUCGGCAGAGUAACUGUUGUCGGCGUGACGGUAUCCAACCAGAAAGCCACGGCUAACUACGUGCCAGCAGCCGCGGUAAUACGUAGGUGGCAAGCGUUAUCCGGAUUUAUUGGGCGUAAAGCGAGCGCAGGCGGUUUUUUAAGUCUGAUGUGAAAGCCCUCGGCUUAACCGAGGAAGCGCAUCGGAAACUGGGAAACUUGAGUGCAGAAGAGGACAGU